This 482-nucleotide ribosomal RNA is filed under the name uncultured bacterium. RNAcentral's name for it is "bacterial SSU rRNA". It matches the Rfam family "Bacterial small subunit ribosomal RNA", at positions 28 to 509 of the family's 1533-position model. The record is from RNAcentral.
GAUGAACGCUAGCGGCAGGCUUAACACAUGCAAGUCGAGGGGUAUUGGUUUUCGGACCAAGAGACCGGCGCACGGGUGCGUAACGCGUAUGCAAUCUACCUUUUGCAGAGGGAUAGCCCCAGAGAAAUUUGGAUUAAUACCUCAUAGUAUAGUACUUUGGCAUCAAGGAACUAUUAAAGUCACAACGGCAAAGAUGAGCAUGCGUCCCAUUAGCUAGUUGGUAAGGUAACGGCUUACCAAGGCUACGAUGGGUAGGGGUCCUGAGAGGGAGAUCCCCCCACACUGGUACUGAGACACGGACCAGACUCCUACGGGAGGCAGCAGUGAGGAAUAUUGGACAAUGGGCGCAAGCCUGAUCCAGCCAUGCCGCGUGCAGGAUGACGGUCCUAUGGAUUGUAAACUGCUUUUGUACAGGAAGAAACCCUUUCACGUGUGGAAGNUUAGACGGUACUGUAAGAAUAAGGAUCGGCUAACUCCGUGCC